This is a long non-coding RNA of Helianthus annuus (common sunflower), 486 nucleotides long. RefSeq lists it as uncharacterized. NCBI's taxonomy places the organism in Eukaryota, Viridiplantae, Streptophyta, Magnoliopsida, Asterales, Asteraceae. The record is from RefSeq and is a predicted model, not a curated record. The transcript is spliced from 3 exons.
CAGUUACUGGGGUAUGUAUGUGUGUGUCGAGAUUGAGGGGAGGAAGAACAACACCCACCUCUUCACUAUCAACUAGAAAUUCAGCCAAUUAAGGAUGAAUGAGAAUCAAAAUCUUGUGCAUGUGAUGAGAUUCAUAACCAUCUAAGAAUUCUCUACAUAAGGGGUCAAAGAAGAAAGUUCAAGUCGCUCCGGAUCGCAAACGAACAACGACAAAGGUAAAGCAACUUGUUAACGGCGCUACUUGGAUCGAACACACUCAUGAUGCACGCUUCCGCAAGGAUCCUAGUUAUGGUUUAAACUUUUGUUAAGUGAUGUCUUUUGUUAAAAACGGGUCUUUUGUAAGUAACUUAAUCCAGUAGUUAUUAGAUGUUAAACUAGUAGUUAAAGACUACAUUGUUGGUUCUGAAACGUUUGGGUUGAAAACUCCUUUUGUAAACAAUAUGUAGUUACCAUGAAGAUUAAUGUAGAAUUUUACUUAUGAAUUAU